This 235-nucleotide unclassified non-coding RNA is filed under the name Hevea brasiliensis (rubber tree). Lineage: Eukaryota; Viridiplantae; Streptophyta; Magnoliopsida; Malpighiales; Euphorbiaceae. The record is from RNAcentral.
CAAUUGCUUUGCUUUUGCUUUACAAUCCCCGGCCUAGCCUUUCCAAUUUUUUCCUUCAUUGACUUGUUCAAUUAUUGCCAUCAACGAAGAAGGCAAGAAGCAAUCCCUAGAUGCUAGCACUUUUUAUAAUUUGGAGUUGGAUGCGCAGAGUUGACAAACAUGACAUCAGUUUAAUGGGUUGGGUGGCCUAACCACCCAUUGAAACCUUUGCUUUGCUUUGAAUGGUGGAUUAAGC